AUUCUCCGAAGGACAGAUUCCAUAGAGGCCCUACCUACCCUUGCCCCAGCGUCACGUGCGGGGAAGGGAUGCCACGUGGUUCGGCGGCCAAAGGCGAAGAGGGCUUUUCUUGGGAGGUUUGCGUUAUGCAGUAAAAGUAGAAGUAAAGCUACCUGCAAUUUUGAGAGCAAGAAAAAUGAAGCUCCCUAUUUUCAUAGUAGAUGCAUUUACAGCAAAAGCAUUUCGUGGGAAUCCUGCUGCUGUUUGCCUCCUAGAAAAUAAAUUGGAUGAAGACGUACAUCAAAAAAUUGCAAGAGAAAUGAACCUCUCUGAAACUGCUUUUAUUCGAAAACUGAACCCAACUGACAACUUUACACAAAGUUCCUGCUUUGGAUUAAGGUGGUUUACACCGGCAAGUGAGGUUCCGCUCUGUGGCCACGCUACCCUGGCUUCUGCAGCUGUGCUGUUUUACAAAAUAAAAAAUGUGAAUAACACUCUAACCUUUGUCACUCUGAGUGGGGAACUUAAGGCCAGAAGAGCAGAGGAUGGUAUUAUCCUGGAUCUGCCUCUUUAUCCUGCCCACCCCCAGGACUUCCAUGAAGUGGAGGACUUGAUAAAAACUGCUAUAGGUAACACCCUGGUCCAAGACAUUCGCUAUUCUCCAGAUACCCGAAAACUCCUUGUCCGACUCAGUGACACUUAUAAGAGGUCAUUUCUGGAGAACCUGAAGGUGAACACACAAGAUCUGUUGCAAGUGGAAAACACAGGGAAGGUGAAAGGACUCAUUCUCACCCUUAAAGGAGAGCCUGGAGGGCAGACCCAAACAUUUGACUUUUACUCCAGAUAUUUUGCACCGUGGGUUGGUGUGGCUGAAGAUCCUGUAACAGGGUCUGCGCAUGCUGUUCUCAGCAGCUACUGGUCCCAGCAACUGGGGAAGAAAGACAUGCAUGGUGUAAUAAAAUGUCAUGUAUCACCCAUGUGAAAAUGAAAGGUUUUCAAUUCCUUCAUCUUGAAUCCUCUACUCAGAACAUCUUCCACUCCUGUCCUUUCCAACACACAGAUACACUUCUAAUACAGUAUACACCUUUCAGUGUUCCCGCCGAGGAGGAGAACUGGAGAUUUCACUGUGCCCCGAUGGACGAGUUGACAUUAAGGGUGGCACUGCUAUUGUUUUAGAGGGCACUCUGACAGCCUAGAUGUGGUUGUGGUCGUGGUUCUUUUGAUGCCACUAUUUUGUUAUUUUGAAUGACUAAGUAUUUUCUGCAUAAAAAGAAAUGGAAGUGGCUGCCUUUACCAAACUUGCAUAGCAGUUCACUUCAUCCUCAUGUUAGAAAUAGAAAAAUGAAAACAUAUUAAUGGAAAUUUAAUCACGCUUUCUAACUAAUUCACUAAUGGAGUUUUGACUCUACCUGUGAGUGUAUUUGCAAUGGAAGUAACCAGUAACAAAAUAAUGUUGUCACCUGAUUAUGACUACCAAUAACACAAUGAGGAACAAAUUUAUGGGGAGUAAGAGCAAACCAUUUAAACUCAGGUAUGAGUAUCUGAUAGACUAUUUUGUAGCCUUUAAAAAGACCCAAUAAUCAUUUGGAAAUAUUGAAAAAUACUUCAUGAUAUAAUUCUAAGAAAGAGAAUUCAAAAUGUUAGCAUUGUUAUGUCUGUGUACAAUAUGAACUUACAUGGACAAAGAUGGGUCAUGAAGAUAGAAAGGUGAAAGCUAUUCAUAUGUGUGUGUGGACAGGUAAGAUUGGGAGUCAUUUUAAUGCACCUAAGAAAUUAUUUCCCUUAUUGGAACACACUCAUGUUCAAUAACUAACAAUCAGAACAUAUAACAGAAUAACCAAUAAAGUCAGAAAUUUCAAAAGAUGUAUGUGUAUUAGUGUGGUAGUAAAAUUAAACACUAAAAGCAAAUGUAAUGUCUUUAUCUUGAUGUAUGGCUUUAGAGCUAUAGCUUAAAAGGCAUUCUUCUCUUACCUUAAUAAAAUUGGUUUUGGGAUGCCUGGA
This is an RNA transcript of Nyctereutes procyonoides (raccoon dog), 1980 nucleotides long. It is a transcript of the gene named phenazine biosynthesis like protein domain containing, with no coding region annotated. NCBI's taxonomy places the organism in Eukaryota, Metazoa, Chordata, Mammalia, Carnivora, Canidae. The transcript has 11 exons. The record is from RefSeq and is a predicted model, not a curated record.